Molecule: ribosomal RNA, 1506 nt
Filed under: metagenome
Description: bacterial SSU rRNA
Rfam family: Bacterial small subunit ribosomal RNA
Source: RNAcentral
AGAGUUUGAUCAUGGCUCAGGACGAACGCUGGCGGCGUGCCUAAUACAUGCAAGUAGAACGCUGAAGAGAGGAGCUUGCUCUUCUUGGAUGAGUUGCGAACGGGUGAGUAACGCGUAGGUAACCUGCCUUGUAGCGGGGGAUAACUAUUGGAAACGAUAGCUAAUACCGCAUAACAAUGGAUGACACAUGUCAUUUAUUUGAAAGGGGCAAUUGUUCCACUACAAGAUGGACCUGCGUUGUAUUAGCUAGUAGGUGAGGUAAUGGCUCACCUAGGCGACGAUACAUAGCCGACCUGAGAGGGUGAUCGGCCACACUGGGACUGAGACACGGCCCAGACUCCUACGGGAGGCAGCAGUAGGGAAUCUUCGGCAAUGGGGGCAACCCUGACCGAGCAACGCCGCGUGAGUGAAGAAGGUUUUCGGAUCGUAAAGCUCUGUUGUAAGUCAAGAACGGGUGUGAGAGUGGAAAGUUCACACUGUGACGGUAGCUUACCAGAAGGGGACGGCUAACUACGUGCCAGCAGCCGCGGUAAUACGUAGGUCCCGAGCGUUGUCCGGAUUUAUUGGGCGUAAAGCGAGCGCAGGCGGUUUGUUAAGUCUGAAGUUAAAGGCUGUGGCUCAACCAUAGUUCGCUUUGGAAACUGUCAAACUUGAGUGCAGAAGGGGAGAGUGGAAUUCCAUGUGUAGCGGUGAAAUGCGUAGAUAUAUGGAGGAACACCGGUGGCGAAAGCGGCUCUCUGGUCUGUAACUGACGCUGAGGCUCGAAAGCGUGGGGAGCGAACAGGAUUAGAUACCCUGGUAGUCCACGCCGUAAACGAUGAGUGCUAGGUGUUGGAUCCUUUCCGGGAUUCAGUGCCGCAGCUAACGCAUUAAGCACUCCGCCUGGGGAGUACGACCGCAAGGUUGAAACUCAAAGGAAUUGACGGGGGCCCGCACAAGCGGUGGAGCAUGUGGUUUAAUUCGAAGCAACGCGAAGAACCUUACCAGGUCUUGACAUCCCGAUGCUAUUUCUAGAGAUAGAAAGUUACUUCGGUACAUCGGUGACAGGUGGUGCAUGGUUGUCGUCAGCUCGUGUCGUGAGAUGUUGGGUUAAGUCCCGCAACGAGCGCAACCCCUAUUGUUAGUUGCCAACAUUCAGUUGGGCACUCUAGCGAGACUGCCGGUAAUAAACCGGAGGAAGGUGGGGAUGACGUCAAAUCAUCAUGCCCCUUAUGACCUGGGCUACACACGUGCUACAAUGGUUGGUACAACGAGUUGCGAGUCGGUGACGGCGAGCUAAUCUCUUAAAGCCAAUCCCAGUUCGGAUUGUAGGCUGCAACUCGCCUACAUGAAGUCGGAAUCGCUAGUAAUCGCGGAUCAGCACGCCGCGGUGAAUACGUUCCCGGGCCUUGUACACACCGCCCGUCACACCACGAGAGUUUGUAACACCCGAAGUCGGUGAGGUAACCUUUUGGAGCCAGCCGCCUAAGGUGGGACAGAUGAUUGGGGUGAAGUCGUAACAAGGUA